AGUGAACGCUGGCGGUAGGCCUAACACAUGCAAGUCGAACGGCAGCACAGUAAGAGCUUGCUCUUACGGGUGUCGCGUGGCGGACGGGUGAGGAAUACAUCGGAAUCUACUUUUUCGUGGGGGAUAACGUAGGGAAACUUACGCUAAUACCGCAUACGACCUACGUGUGAAAGCCGGGGAUCUUCGGACCUUGCGCGAUUGUAUGAGCCGAUGUCGGAUUAGCUAGUUGGCGGGGUAAAGGCCCACCAAGGCGACGAUCCGUAGCUGGUCUGAGAGGAUGAUCAGCCACACUGGAACUGAGACACGGUCCAGACUCCUACGGGAGGCAGCAGUGGGGAAUAUUGGACAAUGGGCGCAAGCCUGAUCCAGCCAUACCGCGUGGGUGAAGAAGGACUUCGGGUUGUAAAGCCCUGUUGUUGGGAAAGAAAAGCAGCAGGUUAAUACCCCGCUGUUCUGACGGUACCCAAAGAAUAAGCACCGGCUAACUUCGUG
Molecule: ribosomal RNA, 492 nt
Filed under: uncultured bacterium
Lineage: Bacteria
Description: partial 16S ribosomal RNA
Rfam family: Bacterial small subunit ribosomal RNA
Source: RNAcentral